UACGUAGGGGGCAAGCGUUGUCCGGAAUCAUUGGGCGUAAAGGGCGCGUAGGCGGGCGGCCGAGUCCGGGGUGAAAGCCCCCAGCUCAACUGGGGAAGUGCCUCGGAUACUGGUCGCCUCGAGGGAGAUAGGGGCGUGCGGAACUUCCGGUGGAGCGGUGAAAUGCGUAGAUAUCGGAAGGAACACCGGUGGCGAAAGCGGCGCGCUGGAUCUCUUCUGACGCUGAGGCGCGAAAGCCAGGGGAGCGAACGGG
Molecule: ribosomal RNA, 253 nt
Filed under: uncultured bacterium
Lineage: Bacteria
Description: partial 16S ribosomal RNA
Rfam family: Bacterial small subunit ribosomal RNA
Source: RNAcentral